This is a long non-coding RNA of Centruroides sculpturatus (bark scorpion), 730 nucleotides long. RefSeq lists it as uncharacterized. The record is from RefSeq and is a predicted model, not a curated record. Lineage: Eukaryota; Metazoa; Arthropoda; Arachnida; Scorpiones; Buthidae. The transcript has 2 exons.
GCGACACCUCCUCUCCUACUCAUUCUAACUUUCUUGACACUUUAAAAAAGUUUAUUAAUAUAAAAUUAAAAUAUAAAAAUUAUUAUUAGAUUUUAUUAUAUAUUUUUAUAAAUUAAUUAAUAUAUGUUCAUAUAUUUUUAUUACCGUUUCGUUAAAAGAUUUGUCAUUACGUAAAAUACGGUUACGUUCCCUUCCAAAGUUAAAAAUUUGAGUGUUUUAAAUAUUCUUACAAUUUAUCAUUUUUAUUAAACAGUUAUAGUUUUGAAUUUCGUCUUUUUUGUUGAAUUGCAUAAUAAACGUGCACCGUAUCGAAUCAAACGGGCUCGUACCGAAUUUCAUAUUGUUGCACCGGUACACUAUAGACGACGUAAUGUACGGUAUCUCGGAUUUGCUUGUUACGAAUGGACCUCACGCGUAAUGUGAUCGGUCGGCAUAGAUAAAAGACAGAAAAAAAUAUUCAGUCCGAAUUAUUCGUGGAAAAGGUACAUAACUACAUUACACUUCACUCCAUUUUGUGCUGCGUGUAUAAGGAGACGUUUACGGAUAUUAACGUAAAGUUUUGAACUUACAUCUCGCAAUAAUUAGAAUGGCCGGAAGAGGUGUUAUUUGCGCUAUGUAUGGCUGUUUUAAUUACAAGAUAUAAAGUGACCGAUCUGGCCUGGAAAAGUACCCUCACUAUUAAUUUAUAACGCCAAACAGACCACGAUGAGAAGCAGCUUCCCAAAAAAAA